Molecule: ribosomal RNA, 336 nt
Filed under: uncultured bacterium
Lineage: Bacteria
Description: partial 16S ribosomal RNA
Rfam family: Bacterial small subunit ribosomal RNA
Source: RNAcentral
CCUACGGGAGGCAGCAGUAGGGAAUCUUCCACAAUGGGCGAAAGCCUGAUGGAGCAACGCCGCGUGGGUGAAGAAGGUCUUCGGAUCGUAAAACCCUGUUGUUAGAGAAGAAAGUGCGUGAGAGUAACUGUUCACGUUUCGACGGUAUCUAACCAGAAAGCCACGGGUAACUACGUGCCAGCAGCCGCGGGAAUACGUAAGUGGCAAGCGUUAACCGGAUUUAUUGGGCGUAAAGGGAUCGCUGGUGGGCUUUUAAGUCUGAUGUGAAAACCUUCGGGUUAACCGGAGUAAUGCAUUGGAAACUGGGGGACUUGAGUGCAGAAGAGGAGAGUGGAA